UUUAUGGAGAGUUUGAUCCUGGCUCAGGAUGAACGCUGGCGGCGUGCCUAAUACAUGCAAGUCGAGCGAACGGACGAGAAGCUUGCUUCUCUGAUGUUAGCGGCGGACGGGUGAGUAACACGUGGAUAACCUACCUAUAAGACUGGGAUAACUUCGGGAAACCGGAGNNAAUACCGGAUAAUAUUUUGAACCGCAUGGUUCAAAAGUGAAAGACGGUCUUGCUGUCACUUAUAGAUGGAUCCGCGCUGCAUUAGCUAGUUGGUAAGGUAACGGCUUACCAAGGCAACGAUGCAUAGCCGACCUGAGAGGGUGAUCGGCCACACUGGAACUGAGACACGGUCCAGACUCCUACGGGAGGCAGCAGUAGGGAAUCUUCCGCAAUGGGCGAAAGCCUGACGGAGCAACGCCGCGUGAGUGAUGAAGGUCUUCGGAUCGUAAAACUCUGUUAUUAGGGAAGAACAUAUGUGUAAGUAACUGUGCACAUCUUGACGGUACCUAAUCAGAAAGCCACGGCUAACUACGUGCCAGCAGCCGCGGUAAUACGUAGGUGGCAAGCGUUAUCCGGAAUUAUUGGGCGUAAAGCGCGCGUAGGCGGUUUUUUAAGUCUGAUGUGAAAGCCCACGGCUCAACCGUGGAGGGUCAUUGGAAACUGGAAAACUUGAGUGCAGAAGAGGAAAGUGGAAUUCCAUGUGUAGCGGUGAAAUGCGCAGAGAUAUGGAGGAACACCAGUGGCGAAGGCGACUUUCUGGUCUGUAACUGACGCUGAUGUGCGAAAGCGUGGGGAUCAAACAGGAUUAGAUACCCUGGUAGUCCACGCCGUAAACGAUGAGUGCUAAGUGUUAGGGNNNNNNCNNANCCUUAGUGCUGCAGCUAACGCAUUAAGCACUCCGCCUGGGGAGUACGACCGCAAGGUUGAAACUCAAAGGAAUUGACGGGGACCCGCACAAGCGGUGGAGCAUGUGGUUUAAUUCGAAGCAACGCGAAGAACCUUACCAAAUCUUGACAUCCUUUGACAACUCUAGAGAUAGAGCCUUCCCCUUCGGGGGACAAAGUGACAGGUGGUGCAUGGUUGUCGUCAGCUCGUGUCGUGAGAUGUUGGGUUAAGUCCCGCAACGAGCGCAACCCUUAAGCUUAGUUGCCAUCAUUAAGUUGGGCACUCUAAGUUGACUGCCGGUGACAAACCGGAGGAAGGUGGGGAUGACGUCAAAUCAUCAUGCCCCUUAUGAUUUGGGCUACACACGUGCUACAAUGGACAAUACAAAGGGCAGCGAAACCGCGAGGUCAAGCAAAUCCCAUAAAGUUGUUCUCAGUUCGGAUUGUAGUCUGCAACUCGACUACAUGAAGCUGGAAUCGCUAGUAAUCGUAGAUCAGCAUGCUACGGUGAAUACGUUCCCGGGUCUUGUACACACCGCCCGUCACACCACGAGAGUUUGUAACACCCGAAGCCGGUGGAGUAACCUUUUAGGAGCUAGCCGUCGAAGGUGGGACAAAUGAUUGGGGUGAAGUCGUAACAAGGUAGCCGUAUCGGAAGGUGCGGCUGGAUCACCUCCUUU
RNAcentral lists this ribosomal RNA (1553 nucleotides) under Staphylococcus aureus. RNAcentral describes it as "16S ribosomal RNA". It matches the Rfam family "Bacterial small subunit ribosomal RNA". The record is from RNAcentral. Lineage: Bacteria; Bacillati; Bacillota; Bacilli; Caryophanales; Staphylococcaceae.